GAGUGAGGAGUAUUGGCAGCAGCAGGCAGGCGGGCAGGCUGGGAGUUUGCAUGGAAAUCAAGAAGUCUUGUCUUUCUCUUUUCAAAUGUUUGGGAAGGACAGUUAAGAAUAGCUCAGAAACUGGUCCCGUUCUUUUUGUGGGGAGAAUGACCAGAAGCAUAGAAGCUAAGUCUUCCAGCAAGUACAAGAUACCUCUUUCGGUGUUUGCAGUAAACCUAACAGAAUGACUGGCUGUCUGUAAAGGACUGUGCCAUGACACCUCAGAUGAAGGGAAUGGUAAAGCAAAGUAAUGACUCAAAGGCUACCACGGAGCUUCUACCUUUAACUCAUUGUGGCAAAGUUGGACAUUCCAAAGAUGGCGUAAAUGAACAUGACCAGAAAGAGCAGGAGGCCGAUGUUAAACAACGCAGGAAGGGACAUCAUCAAAGCAAAGAGCAGCGUGCGGAUCCCCUUGGCCCCUUUGAUCAGACGCAGGAUUCGGCCAAUCCUGGCAAGACGGAUCACUCGGAACAGGGCCUCUCACUGUUGUGGCCUCUCUGGUGGCAGAGCACAGGCUCCGGACGCGCAGGCCCAGUGGCCAUGGCUCACGGGCCAUGGGCAUAUUUUGAUAAUAAAAGAAGGUAACCUGUGUAAAAGUGGUCACAUAUGUCUGUGCCUGGUUAAAAGCACAGAGCUGCAUCUUGAUGGAUCCAGUUUGUUUUUACCCCUGUGAGAAGUAAGAAGGUCAGGUACUGAAGUCUGUAAAUGCAGCAUGAUGGAACAGUUUAAUCAACAGAUUUGAAAUGUUUAAAGACAUAUACCUACAACCUCCUGGGAUACCUGAUGAACAGUCUAAUGCUAGGUUGACCAACUAAACCAAACCAACAUGGUGGCUUUGAAAACUGAAUUGAGUCACUGAAGAGCAUCUUAUCCCAAUUAUCUCCUGCCUCUAAGCUUGAAAAUUCCUACCAACGGCACUCGGAACACAAUCAGGAAGGAGUGGAAGAAGUCAUUCAUGUGCCAGCGUGGGAGUGUGCAGUCUUCAUUGAUCUUACAGACACAUUCUUUGUAGCUCUUACCAAAGAGCUGCAUGCCGACCACGGCAAAAAUGAAGACGAUGAUGGCCAACACCAAGGUUCAGCAAUAACAGAGGCAACUGUAAUGACUGUUUCUCACUGCCAAGGAAGAUCUCAUGAACUGCUCUGAGGCUAUGAGGAUAAAUGACUCAGUUGGAAAAGGACAAUUAAGACUGAUGGAAACUGUAGGAAAAUGGAGAAUAUAAGCUCCAUCUAAAAGAGGUGACCACUCUCCAGCUCUAAAGCAUUGCUGCUAUGCAGGAAUAUGAGCUCAGUCUUACCAGCACUUUUAGAGCUCAUUUUGGAUGUUUCGGAAGAACUCUCGGAGAGGCCCAUUAUCCGGCUUCUCUCAAUGCUUGUAUAUUCAGCUGCUGCCAUUGCUAUUGCCUGUUGCACCAAGAGGUUACACACACAGUGAGUCAUUUCCAAAGUCUGGGAAACCCUAUUAUGGGGCACCUGUUUACUACAAAUUCAGUUACACUGUUCAUGUAAUCACGUCCCUUGUAAGGGAAGUAAUGUCGUUUCCUUUGCACUCUGAAUAGAGAGCUUACAAAAUCUAUGUUUAUUGCUUCUCCUGCAUUGUAAUAAAGCCAUACUGUGCCUUGAAGUUAAACUAUUACAUACUAUUACUAUAUAGUAAAGCAAUUUAAGUAGUAUAUGUGGAAUUUUAAAUUGUAUACGUAAAAGUUUUAAUUUUAGGUAAUUCUGGGUCAUAAAACACAUAAACCAUGUAAAAGUUUUAAUUUUAGGUAAUUCUGGGUCAUAGAACACAUAAACCAUGUGAUAAUUCAUUUGUAUAUCUUGUUCGGGUAAUUAACUCAAUAUUAUCAAUAAAUUCAGGUACAGCUAUACUUUAAUGAAGAAUGAAUUAUUUGCAAAUAAAAAAUUAUUACAGAAUAAUAUCUCAAGAAAAUGAAAGAGCCUUUUAGGGGUUCUCUAGGAAAUUCCUGGGAUAGCCUAGUGCUACCCCUUUUAUAAAAAUUAAAUUUUUAUUAUUAAAGUAAAAUAAUCCUUGUAAAAAUUUGGAAAAUAAAGAUAUUGUGAAUAAAAAACAAAAAUCAGUCAGAAACCUACAUCCUAGCAAUAAUUGGUGUUAACAUUUCU
This is a long non-coding RNA of Globicephala melas (long-finned pilot whale), 2159 nucleotides long. RefSeq lists it as uncharacterized. Lineage: Eukaryota; Metazoa; Chordata; Mammalia; Artiodactyla; Delphinidae. The record is from RefSeq and is a predicted model, not a curated record.